AUUGAACGCUGGCGGCAGGCCUAACACAUGCAAGUCGAGCGAGCGGCGGACGGGUGAGUAAUGUAUGGGGACUGCCCGAUAGAGGGGGAUAACUACCGGAAACGGUAGCUAAUAUCGCACAUUACCGGAUAACCCAUAUGGGAUUAGCUAGUAGGUGAGGUAAUGGCUCACCCAGGCGACGAUCCCUAGCUGGUCUGAGAGGAUGAUCAGCCACACUGGAACUGAGACACGGUCCAGACUCCUACGGAGGCAGCAGUGGGGAAUAUUGCACAAUGGGCGCAAGCCUGAUGCAGCCAUGCCGCGUGUAUGAAGAAGGCCCUAGGGUUGUAAAGUACUUUCAGUGGGGAGGCGUUACCGGCAGAAGAAGCACCGGCUAACUCCGUGCCAGCAGCCGCGGUAAUAC
This 403-nucleotide ribosomal RNA is filed under the name uncultured bacterium. RNAcentral's name for it is "partial 16S ribosomal RNA". It matches the Rfam family "Bacterial small subunit ribosomal RNA", at positions 30 to 526 of the family's 1533-position model. The record is from RNAcentral.